AUUGCCAACUACUAGGCACAUUACCCUGAGCUUCUUGUAACAAAGGUAGUGAUGUUCAUUUUAAAAAUAUCAAGAAACAGAUUAAUAAAAUUCAGAAUAUGGUUUAGUUUUUCCUGCUGUGACAUUAGCAUUUGACUACAUUCAUUCUGAGAGAGCCUGAAGCAAAGAUUAUCUGCUUCUCAUUAUUGGGCUAUGCGAAAACACAGCCGACCUGGCCCAGUUCCAGGAACAACAUUGACAUGGUGUUAAAUCCAGAGAAGAUAGCCCCAAGUUAGAGAACAAAGUUGCUCUGCAUAAUAAAUUUCCCAAUUCUCCUCACAAAGUCCAGAAGAGCAACCAGGAGAGCAAAAGAAAAACUGAGUAUAGAAAAGUAGGAAAAAAAAAUCAGAAUAAAAAGAUGGAGAGAAUUGAAGAGAAAGUGAUGGAUAUAACAGGCAACGAAGAUGCAACAUAUCCAUAACAGAAGUCUUACCCCCAGACCCCCUCAAAGAGGAAAGUAAGGCAGUGGGUAGAAACUACUAAAGAAAACAUUGCUGAAGACAAAAAAGAUGACUUGAACCUGUGUACCUGAAGGGAACAUGAUGUGCCUAGAACAUAUAAACAAAAACAGUCGACUCCAAGACAUAGCCUUAAAAUUAUUGUACGUUAUAGAACAGAAAUCUGUUUGGCAUAAGAUAAAAUGACCAAGUAACUUACAUGGGAUUAGAUCUUCACAGAAGACUUUUAAGUUAAAAACACAGUGGAGUAAAUGGAGUAACGUAGUACAAAUACCCAAGAAAAGAAAUGUAACACCCUCCCCACUUCGGGAUUUUUAAAUUCAGCCAAAUGACCUUCAAGUAGAAAGACCAUAGACAAACCUCAAUGAAGAGGAAGGAAGGAAUCAGGAAAUGAUGUUCCUGUGAGCACUCCCUGAGUAAUCCACUAAGCUAUGAGCUUCACACAAUCAAGAAAUGUUUAGGAAGCUUUUCAUUAGGACUAGUGGUGAGAAAUGAAUAUGUUUAACUGAAGAACUAAGACUAAAUAAAGGGCACGAGUGUGAGAAAUCCU
RNAcentral lists this long non-coding RNA (1047 nucleotides) under Homo sapiens (human). Its description in RNAcentral is "HSALNT0378903". Lineage: Eukaryota; Metazoa; Chordata; Mammalia; Primates; Hominidae. The record is from RNAcentral.